UACCGCAUACGACCGAGAGGUGAAAGCGAGGGACCGAAAGGCCUCGCGCAGCAGGAUGAGCCGAUGUCCGAUUAGCUAGUUGGUGGGGUAAAGGGCCUACCAAGGCGACGAUCGGUAGCUGGUCUGAGAGGAUGAUCAGCCACACUGGGACUGAGACACGGCCCAGACUCCUACGGGAGGCAGCAGUGGGGAAGUAUUGGACAAUGGGGGCGAGCCCUGAUCCAGCAAUGCCGCGUGUGUGAAGAAGGCCUUCGGGUUGUAAAGCACUUUAUCGGGAACGAAACACCGUGGGUUAAUACCCUGCGGGACUGACGGUACCCGAGGAAUAAGCACCGGCUAACUCCGUG
Molecule: ribosomal RNA, 347 nt
Filed under: uncultured bacterium
Lineage: Bacteria
Description: bacterial SSU rRNA
Rfam family: Bacterial small subunit ribosomal RNA
Source: RNAcentral